UAAUUUUGUAGGAAUCAAGACAAUUUAAACGUGGAAAUCCACUCUGGAAGCAAAUGGACUUCCCAUUUUCGAAUGUACAGCGAAAGUAGUCAAGCGACUGUAUGCCGUGCAUAAGCAGUCUGGAAAGGACUUGAACUUGAUGCUACUUAGCCCAGCACAAGUAAUAUCCAACCUUGACCACGGAUCUGGAGCAACCGCUGACGGAAGAGAAGAAAUGAACACUGAACACAACAUAACACAAAAAUGCAAAAUAUACAAGGACAUAAAGUUAAAGAAAUGAAUACGACUUAGCCAGCUUGGCUGCUGGACUGCCAUGCUUGCACAGUCGAACUACCUCGCUCACAUAGACCGCGGUUAGCUGCUUGCAUGAAUAAACAGAAUGGUUCCACCUCAAAUAUAUUCGCCGGUGGUGCCUUUCAUUAGCGCCAGCCAAUCUCUUGGCAGUACAGCGGCGACCCACAGGCAGGAUCUGUACCUGUCUCAUUGUGCAUUGCCACUCAUUGCAGCAUCAAACUAACAGGUGUUAUCGUCUUUGUAAUAAAUUACCUUACUCAGGAUCAAGAGUCUCUGGCUGUGCUAUAGUUGGCUCCAGCCCGACCCUACUCUCUAACUAUGGUUAGACCCGCCGGCCGGACCGGGUACGACAGCCUUUGCGACCGGCCACUGGACCGGAACCGGAC
Molecule: long non-coding RNA, 680 nt
Filed under: Volvox carteri
Lineage: Eukaryota; Viridiplantae; Chlorophyta; Chlorophyceae; Chlamydomonadales; Volvocaceae
Description: long non-coding RNA (VCAR_LNC003789)
Source: RNAcentral